UCAGGCAAUAAACUUUGCCCAACUUUGGCCC
RNAcentral lists this non-coding RNA (31 nucleotides) under Rattus norvegicus (Norway rat). Lineage: Eukaryota; Metazoa; Chordata; Mammalia; Rodentia; Muridae. The record is from RNAcentral.